Molecule: ribosomal RNA, 253 nt
Filed under: uncultured bacterium
Lineage: Bacteria
Description: partial 16S ribosomal RNA
Rfam family: Bacterial small subunit ribosomal RNA
Source: RNAcentral
GACGAACCUUGCUAACGUUAUUCGGAAUUACUGGGCUUAAAGGGUGCGUAGGCGGCGCGGUAAGUCGGGUGUGAAAUCUCGGAGCUUAACUCCGAAACUGCAUUCGAUACUGCGGUGCUUGAGGACUGGAGAGGAGACUGGAAUUCACGGUGUAGCAGUGAAAUGCGUAGAUAUCGUGAGGAAGACCAGUGGCGAAGGCGGAUCUCUGGACAGUUCCUGACGCUGAGGCGCGAAGGCCAGGGGAGCAAACGGG